GACGAACGCUGGCGGCGUGCUUAACACAUGCAAGUCGAACGGAAAGGCCCUGCUUUUGUGGGGUGCUCGAGUGGCGAAAGGGUGAGUAACACGUGAGUAACCUGCCCUUGACUUUGGGAUAACUUCAGGAAACUGGGGCUAAUACCGGAUAGGAGCUCCUGCUGCAUGGUGGGGGUUGGAAAGUUUCGGCGGUUGGGGAUGGACUCGCGGCUUAUCAGCUUGUUGGUGGGGUAGUGGCUUACCAAGGCUUUGACGGGUAGCCGGCCUGAGAGGGUGACCGGCCACAUUGGGACUGAGAUACGGCGCAGACUCCUACGGGAGGCAGCAGUGGGGAAUAUUGCACAAUGGGCGGAAGCCUGAUGCAGCCACGCCGCGUGCGGGAUGACGGCCUUCGGGUUGUAAACCGCUUUCGCCUGUGACGAAGCGUGAGUGACGGUAAUGGGUAAAGAAGCACCGGCUAACUACGUG
Molecule: ribosomal RNA, 468 nt
Filed under: uncultured bacterium
Lineage: Bacteria
Description: partial 16S ribosomal RNA
Rfam family: Bacterial small subunit ribosomal RNA
Source: RNAcentral